Molecule: unclassified non-coding RNA, 353 nt
Filed under: soil metagenome
Description: partial contains 5.8S ribosomal RNA, internal transcribed spacer 2, and large subunit ribosomal RNA
Rfam family: 5.8S ribosomal RNA (bases 1-120)
Source: RNAcentral
GAUGAAGAACGCAGCGAAAUGCGAUAAGUAAUGUGAAUUGCAGAAUUCAGUGAAUUAUCGAAUCUUUGAACGCACAUUGCGCCCGCCAGUAUUCUGGCGGGCAUGCCUGUUCGAGCGUCAUUACAACCCUCAGGCCCCCGGGCCUGGCGUUGGGGAUCGGCGGAAGCCCCCUGCGGGCACAACGCCGUCCCCCAAAUUCAGUGGCGGUCCCGCCGCAGCUUCCAUUGCGUAGUAGCUAACACCUCGCAACUGGAGAGCGGCGCGGCCACGCCGUAAAACACCCAACUUCUGAAUGUUGACCUCGAAUCAGGUAGGAAUACCCGCUGAACUUAAGCAUAUCAAUAAGCGGAGGA